UGAGGUAGAGGUCGCGUUUCCAAUGAGUACCUCCGGGGAGGCCGAAAGCCAGAGAUCCGGUGGGAAAGGUGUCGACGCCGAAAUCGCAGAGUCAAAAACUGCGGUUGGGCUUGCAAUCGAACAGAUGCAAGACUGUCUUUGAAGGACUUACCAACCUUCAAAGGAGUGCUAUC
This 173-nucleotide non-coding RNA is filed under the name uncultured Negativibacillus sp. Its description in RNAcentral is "Lysine riboswitch". It matches the Rfam family "Lysine riboswitch aptamer". From Rfam's summary of the family: Riboswitches are metabolite binding domains within certain messenger RNAs that serve as precision sensors for their corresponding targets. Allosteric rearrangement of mRNA structure is mediated by ligand binding, and this results in modulation of gene expression. Lineage: Bacteria; Bacillati; Bacillota. The record is from RNAcentral.